GAUGAACGCUGGCGGCGUGCCUAACACAUGCAAGUCGAGCGAUUUACUUCGGUAAAGAGCGGCGGACGGGUGAGUAACGCGUGGGUAACCUGCCCUGUACACACGGAUAACAUACCGAAAGGUAUGCUAAUACGAGAUAAUAUGCUUUUAUCGCAUGGUAGAAGUAUCAAAGCUUUUGCGGUACAGGAUGGACCCGCGUCUGAUUAGCUAGUUGGUAAGGUAACGGCUUACCAAGGCGACGAUCAGUAGCCGACCUGAGAGGGUGAUCGGCCACAUUGGAACUGAGACACGGUCCAAACUCCUACGGGAGGCAGCAGUGGGGAAUAUUGCACAAUGGGCGAAAGCCUGAUGCAGCAACGCCGUGUGAGCGAUGAAGGCCUUCGGUUGUAAGACGUCUGUCUGGAGGGACGGAAGGAAGUGACGGUACCUCCGGACGGAAGGCCACGGCGUAACUACGUG
Molecule: ribosomal RNA, 459 nt
Filed under: uncultured bacterium
Lineage: Bacteria
Description: bacterial SSU rRNA
Rfam family: Bacterial small subunit ribosomal RNA
Source: RNAcentral